UUUAGGUCAAAAUAUUUAAAUGUUUUAAAACAUCAAUAAUAAGAGGAUAUGUUUUUUACCAUAUCCUCUGUAAACCUGUAGUCUAAACUUACAGGUUUUAGCAAAACCUUCACAAGAAGGAACUGGGCAAUUAAAAGAUGUUAAUGCAUACACACUCUGAAAAUAAGAAAAAAAAAGUGAGGGGUGUUGGCCACUUAUUCUUUUUAGCACAAAAACACCUCUCUUCCACUUCCCUAUGUUUAUGUCCCUAUGUUUAUGCUUUGGUGAGCACUUACAUCCACUUACAUCAUUAUAACAAUAACCUCAAUUUGCUAACUUUAUGUAAGAUUUACUUCAAAGGAAUUCUUGGAGCUUGGCAUACAUUAGUUUAUUCAUUUUUGUAGCAUCUUUAUACAUAGGCAUAUGCCUAGCAUCUUAUCGUUAUAAUACAAAAUUAAAAACGGAUGUACUAGGAGAUGAAUCUACUUGCCUAAAGUUGAUAAAAAUCACUUAAUUAUUAUUAGCUUAUGAAACUUGACUUCGAAGUCAUGUCUUCUCUUAGUACAGUAGAGUUUUUUCCCACUACAUUGAUUUCUUUUGCAUAAAUUUAAAAAGUCACAGUGGACAGCUGGGCAGGAAGGACUGACUACCUGGGCAAACUCCAAGAUUUUUCGAGGUUGGGUUAACCUGACCCAGCAGUAGCUCUAAGACUUGGGAGAAAAGGAAUCCAAGCUGAAAGAACUAUGCAUGUAUUUUGACAUUCCAUAGGUAAUGUGUAAAUUACUGUUAACAGGUCAGUAAGUGAAAUUGGGUAAGAAAAGAUAUGAAACAUAAGUGUUUCAUAAUAAACUUCUUUCCUUAUUAGCUUCGCUGGAAACUCCCACUCUGCCCCUGAGCUGUGUGUUCAAGCCUUGGAGCAAACCCUCCAUCUGAACUCUCCCCCGUGUUGUUUGGACUGCCCAUGUAGGUGCUGGAGAUGAGGUGGCUUUGUGUGAGGAGACUGCAGAUGUGUGGCAGGGAACACUCGAGGCCCACAGAACAUUUGCAAUUUGUCCGAGACCAGAGAGAGAGAAUAAGGACCUCGGCCGCCUUCCUACCUGCGCAACAGGGCCCUCCCCAGAUGCCGCGCUGCUCAGUUCCACGCUGCCCCACGGAGCAAGCGGACUGGACGCACUGGCUCAUUCAGCACAAACGUGCCAGGAACCUACCUACCAUGCUAAGCCCUGGAUACAAGGCAAAUGCUCUUCUGCUAAAAAAUGUGAGGUCCCUUCCUCCCCUCUAA
Molecule: long non-coding RNA, 1261 nt
Filed under: Microcebus murinus (gray mouse lemur)
Lineage: Eukaryota; Metazoa; Chordata; Mammalia; Primates; Cheirogaleidae
Description: lncRNA (ENSMICG00000048838.1)
Source: RNAcentral